GAUGAACGCUGGCGGCGUGCCUAAUACAUGCAAGUCGAGCGAACAGACGAGGAACUUUCCUCUCUUACGUUAGCGGCGCACGGGUGAGUAACACGUGGAUAACCUACCUAUAAGACUGGGAUAACUUCGGGAAACCGGUGCCAAAUCCGGCUAAUAUUUUGAACCGCAUGGUUCAAUAGUGAAAGACGGUUUUGCUGUCACUUAUACAUGGAUCCGCGCCGCAUUAGCUAGUUGGUAAGGUAACGGCUUACCAAGGCGACGAUGCGUAGCCGACCUGAGAGGGUGAUCGGCCACACUGGAACUGAGACACGGUCCAGACUCCUACGGGAGGCAGCAGUAGGGAAUCUUGCGCAAUGGGCGAAAGCUUGACGGAGCAACGCCGCGUGAAUGAUGAAGGUCUUCGGAUCGUAAAACUCUGUUAUUAGGGAAGAACAAAUGUGUAAGUAAAUAUGCGCGUAUUGACGGUACCUAAUCAGAAAGCCACGGCUAACUACGUG
RNAcentral lists this ribosomal RNA (497 nucleotides) under uncultured bacterium. Its description in RNAcentral is "partial 16S ribosomal RNA". It matches the Rfam family "Bacterial small subunit ribosomal RNA", at positions 28 to 507 of the family's 1533-position model. The record is from RNAcentral.